RNAcentral lists this long non-coding RNA (200 nucleotides) under Brassica napus (rape). RNAcentral describes it as "long non-coding RNA (BNAP_LNC016475)". Lineage: Eukaryota; Viridiplantae; Streptophyta; Magnoliopsida; Brassicales; Brassicaceae. The record is from RNAcentral.
AGUUAGUAAAAUAAUAAUGUUUUAUAUCUGUUAAUAUGUUAUUGCUAUGUAUUUAAGUGAUAUAGUAUAGUGUGUUUUGUUAUUUGGAUGUUAUCACUUGCACAUCCACAUGCUUACAGAGAGAAUAUGGUCAACUUUGUGGUAAAAAUGUCUCAUCAAAUACAUAUUACUGUAGUAUAGCAAUAUUCUUUAUUUUUUCC